GAUGAACGCUGGCGGCGUGCCUAAUACAUGCAAGUCGAGCGAACAGAUGAGGAGCUUGCUCCUCUGACGUUAGCGGCGGACGGGUGAGUAACACGUGGAUAACCUACCUAUAAGACUGGGAUAACUUCGGGAAACCGGAGCUAAUACCGGAUAAUAUAUUGAACCGCAUGGUUCAAUAGUGAAAGACGGUUUUGCUGUCACUUAUAGAUGGAUCCGCGCCGCAUUAGCUAGUUGGUAAGGUAACGGCUUACCAAGGCAACGAUGCGUAGCCGAUCUGAGAGGGUGAUCGGCCACACUGGAACUGAGACACGGUCCAGACUCCUACGGGAGGCAGCAGUAGGGAAUAUUCCACAAUGGGCGAAAGCCUGACGCAGCAACGCCGCGUGAGUGAUGAAGGUCUUCGGAUCGUAAAGCUCUGUUAUUAGGGAAGAAAAACUGUGUAAGUAACUAUGGCCGUCUUGACGGUACCCAAUCAGAAAGCACCGGCUAACUACGUG
RNAcentral lists this ribosomal RNA (497 nucleotides) under uncultured bacterium. Its description in RNAcentral is "partial 16S ribosomal RNA". It matches the Rfam family "Bacterial small subunit ribosomal RNA", at positions 28 to 507 of the family's 1533-position model. The record is from RNAcentral.